GUGGGUGAUCUGCCCUGCACUUCGGGAUAAGCUUGGGAAACUGGGUCUAAUACCGGAUAGGAGCCAUCUUUAGUGUGGUGGUUGGAAAGUUUUUCGGUGUAGGAUGAGCUCGCGGCCUAUCAGCUUGUUGGUGGGGUAAUGGCCUACCAAGGCGGCGACGGGUAGCCGGCCUGAGAGGGUGACCGGCCACAUUGGGACUGAGAUACGGCCCAG
RNAcentral lists this ribosomal RNA (213 nucleotides) under uncultured Actinomycetales bacterium. RNAcentral describes it as "partial 16S ribosomal RNA". It matches the Rfam family "Bacterial small subunit ribosomal RNA", at positions 117 to 334 of the family's 1533-position model. The record is from RNAcentral. Lineage: Bacteria; Bacillati; Actinomycetota; Actinomycetes; Actinomycetales.